CCAGGAUACACUUCUGCAAAGCCACUCCAAUAUUGGACCAGUUUACCCCACUCUACCAUGGACGUCCUACUUGUGAUGUGGACCUGAACCACCGCCAUGUUAGUCACUCUUUCAGGUCUUGCGGAGUAUCCUUCCCAAGGUGCAGGAACCAGCGUGGAUGAAGUGACAGGACAGUUCCCCUGCUGUACCUUGUGUUUGGAUGACACAAAUACCUGGAACCUCAUACUAUUCUUUUCCACAGGUCUUGCGGAGUAUCCUUCCCAAGUUGCGUGGAUGUGAAGGGACAUGACUGUUCCCCUGAUGUACCAUUGGCGACCUACUUGUGAUGUGGACCUGGACCUCCGCCAUGUAGCAGACAACCCCCCUCAGGUCUUGCGGAGUAUCCUUCCCAAGUUGCUUGAAUCAUCAUGGAUGAAAAGGGACACGACCGUUCUCCUGCUGUACCAUGGGCGACCUAACACAAUACCACUGCAUCUCAUAUAUUACAUUUUAUUUACUAAUAAUUUAAAGAAAAACACAAAACUUCUCAUUUUAAAAAUUUA
This is a long non-coding RNA of Pseudophryne corroboree (corroboree frog), 542 nucleotides long. RefSeq lists it as uncharacterized. The record is from RefSeq and is a predicted model, not a curated record. The transcript has 3 exons. NCBI's taxonomy places the organism in Eukaryota, Metazoa, Chordata, Amphibia, Anura, Myobatrachidae.